Molecule: ribosomal RNA, 253 nt
Filed under: uncultured bacterium
Lineage: Bacteria
Description: partial 16S ribosomal RNA
Rfam family: Bacterial small subunit ribosomal RNA
Source: RNAcentral
GACAGAGGAUGCAAGCGUUAUCCGGAAUGAUUGGGCGUAAAGCGUCUGUAGGUGGCUUUUUAAGUCCGCCGUCAAAUCCCAGGGCUCAACCCUGGACAGGCGGUGGAAACUACCAAGCUGGAGUACGGUAGGGGCAGAGGGAAUUUCCGGUGGAGCGGUGAAAUGCGUAGAUAUCAGGAGGAACACCGGUGGCGAAGGCGGGUCUCUGGGCCGAUACUGACGCUGAGGAGCGAAAGCGUGGGGAGCGAACAGG